GACGAACGCUGGCGGCGUGCUUAACUCAUGCAAGUCGAACGGAAAGGCCCUGCUUUUGUGGGGUGCUCGAGUGGCGAACGGGUGAGUAACACGUGAGUAACCUGACCUUGACUUUGGGAUAACUUCAGGAAACUGGGGCUAAUACCGGAUAGGAGCUCCUGCUGCAUGGUGGGGGUUGGAAAGUUUCGGCGGUUGGGGAUGGACUCGCGGCUUAUCAGCUUGUUGGUGGGGUAGUGGCUUACCAAGGUUUUGACGGGUAGCCGGCCUGAGAGGGUGACCGGCCACAUUGGGACUGAGAUACGGCCCAGACUCCUACGGGAGGCAGCAGUGGGGAAUAUUGCACAAUGGGCGGAAGCCUAAUGCAGCAACGCCGCGUGCGGGAUGACGGCCUUCGGAUUGUAAACCGCUUUCGCCUGUGACGAAGCGUGAGUGACGGUAAUGGGUAAAGAAGCACCGGCUAGCUACGUG
RNAcentral lists this ribosomal RNA (468 nucleotides) under uncultured bacterium. RNAcentral describes it as "partial 16S ribosomal RNA". It matches the Rfam family "Bacterial small subunit ribosomal RNA", at positions 28 to 507 of the family's 1533-position model. The record is from RNAcentral.